RNAcentral lists this long non-coding RNA (305 nucleotides) under Aotus nancymaae (Ma's night monkey). RNAcentral's name for it is "lncRNA (ENSANAG00000038852.1)". Lineage: Eukaryota; Metazoa; Chordata; Mammalia; Primates; Aotidae. The record is from RNAcentral.
CUCAUUCUGACCCUGUGCUCAUCAUUGGCCCUUACAAUGUAAUCUGAACAAUGGAACCAGAGACGUUAGCACUGUCCAGCCUCUCUCAUGAUCUUCGUCCUUCACCAGCACUUCAUGAAAUAAAUACAGAGUUUUCUGAGGAAAGUAUAAUAUAUUCAGACCUCAAAGUUCAUCGUUCUUCAAAUGUCCAGAAAGGAAAAAUAACUAAAACUUUGAAAACAAAAGUUCAUUGUCUUCAAGAGAUUCUGAGUAAAGCAAACAUUGAGACUGAACAUUGCAAAAUAAUAUCACAAAACAAAGGUUGA